Molecule: ribosomal RNA, 632 nt
Filed under: Stemonitopsis hyperopta
Lineage: Eukaryota; Evosea; Eumycetozoa; Stemonitida; Stemonitidae
Description: SSU rRNA
Rfam family: Eukaryotic small subunit ribosomal RNA
Source: RNAcentral
AAAUUGACGGGAAGGGCACACAAAGAGUGGAACCUGCGGCUUAAUUUGACUCAACACGGGACAUCUCACCGGGUCAAGAUACAGUGAUGAAGGACAGGUAGAAAGACCUUUCCCAAUAAUGUAAGUGGUGGUGCAUGGCCGUUCUUAGUUCGUGGAGUGAUUUGUCUGGUCUAUUCCGAUAACGAGCGAGAUCUCAGUGUUUUACUAUGGGGCGCGUAGCCCGGUCUCCGCUCUGCGCGGGUUAAUGUGCGCGCUCGGGGGCGACCCUGGGCGCGUACGGAUGUUCGUUUGGGAGUGCAGUGCCAGCUGCCGCCUGAGAGCGCGAGCUCCUUCUUAGACAGAUCGCGGCCGAUAAGGUCGCUGAAAUGAGGCAAUAACAGGUCAGUGAUGCCCUUAGAUGUUCCGGGCCGCACGCGGGUUACAAUGGUACACAAAACAGGCAUGCUCUCCGUCAAAGGCGCGCUCUUUAGCGUGUCUGGGGGGCAGCCCCGUCGCCUAAGGGCGUACGGUAAUCCCUAGUCUGUACCUUGACUGGGAUAGUCUAUUGAAAUUAUUGGUCUUGAACGAGGAAUUUUUAGUAGGCGCGCGUCAUUAGCGCGUGCCGAAUCAGUCCCUGCCCUUUGUACACACCG